AGCAGCCGCGGUAAUUCCAGCUCCAAUAGCGUAUAUUAAAGUUGUUGCAGUUAAAAAGCUCGUAGUUGAAUUUCGGGAUUAGUGCGCUGGUCAUGCCUUUGGUAUGUACUGGUGUUACUGAUUUCUACCUUCUGAAGAACCGUUAUGUCAUUUAUUUGGUGUGGCGGGGAAUCAGGACUGUUACUUUGAAAAAAUUAGAGUGUUUAAAGCAGGCUCGCGCUUGAAUACAUUAGCAUGGAAUAAUGAAAUAGGACGUUUGACCCUAUUUUGUUGGUUUCUAGGAUCGACGUAAUGAUUAAUAGGGAUAGUUGGGGACAUUAGUAUUCAAUUGUCAGAGGUGAAAUUCUUGGAUUUAUUGAAGACUAACUACUGCGAAAGCAUUUGCCAAGGAUGUUUUCAUUAAUCAAGAACGAAAGUUAGGGGAUCGAAGACGAUCAGAUACCGUCGUAGUCUUAACCAUAAACUAUGCCGACUAGGGAUCGGAUGAUGUUAAUUUUUAAUGACUCAUUCGGCGCCUUAA
This 520-nucleotide ribosomal RNA is filed under the name uncultured Glomeromycotina. RNAcentral describes it as "SSU rRNA". It matches the Rfam family "Eukaryotic small subunit ribosomal RNA", at positions 569 to 1091 of the family's 1831-position model. The record is from RNAcentral. Lineage: Eukaryota; Fungi; Glomeromycota.